RNAcentral lists this ribosomal RNA (1019 nucleotides) under uncultured bacterium. Its description in RNAcentral is "bacterial SSU rRNA". It matches the Rfam family "Bacterial small subunit ribosomal RNA", at positions 355 to 1375 of the family's 1533-position model. The record is from RNAcentral.
UGAGGAAUAUUGGUCAAUGGGCGAGAGCCUGAACCAGCCAAGUAGCGUGCAGGAUGACGGCCCUAUGGGUUGUAAACUGCUUUUAUAAGGGAAUAAAGUGAGAGUCGUGACUCUUUUUGCAUGUACCUUAUGAAUAAGGACCGGCUAAUUCCGUGCCAGCAGCCGCGGUAAUACGGAAGGUCCGGGCGUUAUCCGGAUUUAUUGGGUUUAAAGGGAGCGUAGGCCGGAGAUUAAGCGUGUUGUGAAAUGUAGACGCUCAACGUCUGCACUGCAGCGCGAACUGGUUUCCUUGAGUACGCACAAAGUGGGCGGAAUUCGUGGUGUAGCGGUGAAAUGCUUAGAUAUCACGAAGAACUCCGAUUGCGAAGGCAGCUCACUGGAGCGCAACUGACGCUGAAGCUCGAAAGUGCGGGUAUCGAACAGGAUUAGAUACCCUGGUAGUCCGCACGGUAAACGAUGGAUGCCCGCUGUUGGUCUGAACAGGUCAGCGGCCAAGCGAAAGCAUUAAGCAUCCCACCUGGGGAGUACGCCGGCAACGGUGAAACUCAAAGGAAUUGACGGGGGCCCGCACAAGCGGAGGAACAUGUGGUUUAAUUCGAUGAUACGCGAGGAACCUUACCCGGGCUUGAAUUGCAGAGGAAGGAUUUGGAGACAAUGACGCCCUUCGGGGCCUCUGUGAAGGUGCUGCAUGGUUGUCGUCAGCUCGUGCCGUGAGGUGUCGGCUUAAGUGCCAUAACGAGCGCAACCCCUCUCCUUAGUUGCCAUCAGGUCAUGCUGGGCACUCUGGGGACACUGCCACCGUAAGGUGUGAGGAAGGUGGGGAUGACGUCAAAUCAGCACGGCCCUUACGUCCGGGGCUACACACGUGUUACAAUGGCAGGUACAGAGAGACGGUCCCUUGCAAAAGGGAUCAAAUCCUCAAAGCCUGUCUCAGUUCGGACUGGGGUCUGCAACCCGACCCCACGAAGCUGGAUUCGCUAGUAAUCGCGCAUCAGCCAUGGCGCGGUGAAUACGUUCCC